GUAGGUGGCAAGCGUUGUCCGGAAUUAUUGGGCGUAAAGCGCGCGCAGGCGGUUCUUUAAGUCUGAUGUGAAAGCCCACGGCUCAACCGUGGAGGGUCAUUGGAAACUGGAGAACUUGAGUACAGAAGAGGAAAGCGGAAUUCCACGUGUAGCGGUGAAAUGCGUAGAGAUGUGGAGGAACACCAGUGGCGAAGGCGGCUUUCUGGUCUGUAACUGACGCUGAGGCGCGAAAGCGGUGGGGUAGCAAACAGGGAUUAGAUACCCGUGGUAGUCCACGCCGUAAACGAUGAGUGCUAAGUGUUACGGGGGUUUCCGCCCCCUUAGUGCUGCAGCUAACGCAUUAAGCACUCCGCCUGGGGAUACGGCCGCAAGGCUG
This 376-nucleotide ribosomal RNA is filed under the name uncultured organism. RNAcentral's name for it is "partial 16S ribosomal RNA". It matches the Rfam family "Bacterial small subunit ribosomal RNA", at positions 527 to 896 of the family's 1533-position model. The record is from RNAcentral.